GUGUUUAAUAGAGAAUUUGUGUUGGUGCAGAUGAAGAUCUAUGCAGUGAGAAGAUCACCAAAUCCAGUGACGACAUACAGCUCCAAAAAUUCGUGGAAACAUUAAAUAUGCCUUCAGUUUUUGUACAUUUAAAAGAAAGAGCACGUAAGGGAAGUAGUUCCAUCAUUAGAGAUGCUAUUUGAAAAUUCACAUACAGGAACUCCGACAAUUGACACCAAUGUUUUGCCACAUUUACACAUGGAAUCUUCUAUAUGUAUUUUAUAUUUAAGUAUUCAUUCGUAUUGUAUUUAAAAAAUAAAUGUAAAAAAUAAUGAAA
Long non-coding RNA from Calliphora vicina (urban bluebottle blowfly), 316 nucleotides. RefSeq lists it as uncharacterized. The record is from RefSeq and is a predicted model, not a curated record. NCBI's taxonomy places the organism in Eukaryota, Metazoa, Arthropoda, Insecta, Diptera, Calliphoridae. The transcript has 2 exons.